RNAcentral lists this long non-coding RNA (7734 nucleotides) under Panax ginseng (ginseng). Its description in RNAcentral is "long non-coding RNA (PGIN_LNC014590)". The record is from RNAcentral. Lineage: Eukaryota; Viridiplantae; Streptophyta; Magnoliopsida; Apiales; Araliaceae.
AGAUACAAUAUAAUAGGCCAGCCUUUGGCUUGUGCUGAACCCUCUUUAAAGAUUCAACAAAUUAGCACAUUUUCACUGAAAUGUUGAAUAUUUGUGACAUGAGAAUACAGCUUGUUCACAAAACUACCAAGUUAAAUUAUAGAGUUUCAUAGUUUUGCUGCAAACCUUUGACAAGAUUGUCAUUAACAAUACACAUUCCUUUUCAAAACACACACACAGUGACACAUUCCAUAUAAUCUUAAUGAUCACCAAGAGAAACUAACAUUAGGAAGCUAACUGGAUGUUGUUUUCAUCUGCAACCAAUGGUAGUGGAUGCUUUCAUUCAAAAGAUGAUACGUCGCCCCGAACGAAGAAAAGUCCGGAAGGUCCACCAUUGGGGAGAAGAGCUAGCUUCACUGCACUUUCAGCACCUUCUUCGACAGUUAAUCGGCCAGUAUUGAAAUUUAUAUCCGUUUUAACAAAGCCAGGACAAACAGCAUUGAUGCAGAAAGUUGGGUAAUUCUUGGCCAAAAUCCUUGUGUAUGCAUUCAUUGCUGCUUUUGAGACUGUAUAUGCUGAUAUAAAAGAAGGCCAAUUUUCGGCUUGUACUAAACCCUCUUUGAAAUCUUUCAGAUACUUAUUCAGCACCUCAUCCACUCUCUCUUCUGUAAGGUUUUGGGCAUCAUUUAGUAUUCCCUUUGCCCAUUCAUUUCGUAAAUUCUGAAACAGAAAAAUCUAUGGUCAAUGAUACUUAAAAAUUUAAUCUUUGUAUGUGAAAAUAAAAUCUAUAUACCUACAAGGAGGUGGAUCAAGCCUAUGGUUCUUAAAAUUCGAUAGCCUAAUGUUUAAAGAGAAGACUAGAACUUAAGAAACUUAAAUAAUUUGCAUAUGACUCUUGUGAUCUACGAGUGCUAUCAAAUCUUUUCAGGGAAGGGAAAGUUGAACGCUUUAUUUCCAAUUUUAGAAAGAAAACGUCCUAACUUCCCCUUCUCUUCCGGUCUUCCCUCUGAAUAAAACUCACAAACACAGGAUCAAACGGGUGGAACAGGUGAAUAAAGGGAGGUGCAUUUACCGAAACAAGUAGAUGCAGAAAAUAAACAAUUUGACAACUAGAAUAACACAGCAUAAAGUGCAAUUGAAUUUCUCAAUAAGAUUAGAAAAUAUAAAAGUAAAAUUACAUGUGAUGAAUGUCAUUACCUCCAAUCUUCCCAUGGAGGAGGAAACAUUUACAAUAGUUGGUGAAUCAGAUAACUGAAGGAGGGGAAUUAGUGCUUCUAUCAUUCUUUUUGCCCCAUAGUAGUUUGUUUGCAGGCAUUGCUCUGUCAACUCAUAGGUCUCGGUGACAAUUUCAUCCCAUUUAAUAACUUCAAACUGAAUCAUGAACAAUUAUAUGAAUACGAUCGUAGUGUUAGCAAUUGUCAAUGUUCUGAAUUUCAAGCCUAUGCUAUUGGGAAAAGGUUAUACAAUUUAGUAGAUGCAAGAGGCCUACAACAGAUUCAAGUUCUCAAUUCUUUCUUUAAAAAAAAUUCAACAAGCUAAUACAAUAAUAUAGCUAAUAAAAGAGUUCAUACAUAAUUAACUCUCAGAAAGUCUAUUGAGUGUGUUUGCAACACCUUCAAAAAGGGCUUUAUUAGCAGAUAGUAAAAUGCAUAUACCAUAAUCAUUUUAUAAGGAAAAAAUAGAUUGAUAUUAAACAUUUGCAUUAGUAUACUAGCUCCCACCCCACUCCACACACCCCAACAAACACAAAAAACGAAAACAAAACCCAACAAAAAAGGAAUAAGAAAGAAAGGCAGCCAACUUUUUCCUUUUAGUCUCAUCUCUUUCCUUUUCCUAGGAACAUCAAACAGCAUCAUCCAAACAAAUUGCAUAAUAAGUUAAACUGUCAAUUAACAGUAAAACUUACCUUAAAGUUGGUUGUAGAGAAAUAUGUUAUACAACAUAUAUAACCAUAGAAAUUAACUCACCCCGACAUUAUUGGUCACGAAGGUUGUAAAAGCAUCUUCAUGUAUUACAGCUCCCACAAUUCCUGCAUUGUUCACCUGUACAAUGUUACUACUUCUCUCACUACUUAUUAGCAAAAGUUAAAUUUUUUACUAGCAGUAAUUUAUGAUUGUGGGUUUUGUUCUGAAGGCUUUGCAUUUUUCUGAUUACUCUAGUUGCAUUAUAUUAUUUGGAACAAGGAGGGAGAAGCUAACUAUCCAAACAACAACUCAUACUAUUGCAUAGUUACAGAUGAUUAUAUAAUUUAUUUUAAAAGAACUUAAGAGGUCAACAAAACAUAUGGAUAUGGUUCAUGCUAGUUGCUUAAACAAGAUCAUGACUAACUUUAUGUUUAAUGUAGAUUGUGUUAGGAAAAAUGAAUGGACACUAUAUAUAUAAACUUAUCUCGACAUGAAUUUGUCAAGGCUAGUUGCCCAGUCCCGCAUCGAAAGAUAAUAGAAAAAAUUUGUCUGCAUAUAAAGAAAUAAGUUAUUACCAAUAAUAUCUUCAAGUCAUGACCUUUUAAGUGAGCUUGUGGUGGGCUACGAUGACCCAAGAAGAUACUAUUGGGUCAGUGAUUUGAUUCGAUUCGAACUUGAAAUUUGACCUGAGAUUUGUUCCGGACUCGGGAUUUGACCCGGGUUGUUUCAUAUGGUAUCAAAGCCGACUCUUGAAAGCUCGAGUUGGGUUGCCAGAGGUGGGGACACGAAGUGGAGGGGUUUUACCAGGUUGGGUUGCCAGAGGUGGGGACACGAAGUGGAGGAGUUUGUAAAACCCCAGUACUAUAGUAGCACCACUCCAAAAUAGCAUUAUACUACGAACCAAAAGAAAUGCUCUAGACUCUCUCAAUUUAAACUAUAAUUUGCUUAUGAAAUGAUGAAGACUUGAAGACUUAGAAUGUUUAAAUGCUUUGAUGAAUUGAAUGAUUCAAAUGGCAGCCCCCAAUCUAUUUAUAGGAAGGAUUAGUGACCCAUCAAAUGGGGCACAACCCUUUGAAAAGACAUCUUUAGCAAAAAAAGAGACGUAGUUUUUGGUUUUAGAAGAAAGGGCGCGUCCGUUCUGGCAAAAAACGACGUAGUUUUAGGUUUAGCAGAUCAAAAACGACUUAGGCUUAGCAGAACAAAAACGACGUAGUUUUAAAAUUAGCAGAAACGGCGCGUCCAUUCAAGCAAAAACGACGUAGUUUUGGGCGUCCGUUCAGGCAGAUAGCUUCCCAAAAGUUUGGCAGAUAACGCUUUCCAAAAACAACAGUUUUGAUAUAAAACUAAAAUAAAAUAAACAAAAAUUUGUCCAAAAAAUUAUAUAUAAGGACCUAGAUCCAAUCCCACUGGCGCGUAUGGAUUCAAACUCAAGGGCAACUUUAUUGUAUAUAAACCAAUUAAUAAUUUAGUUCUUAACCGAUGUGGGACUUAGUUUCCCACAAAUAUUUAUUAUCAUUUCCAAGGAUGAUCUUUGGGAGUUAAUUUCUCGUUCAUUAAUCCAUAGAUUUGAGCUUCCAAGAGUAGAACACAUUGAUAUGUAAAUUCACUUCAAAUAAUUAAUGAAACCCACUUCAAAUUUGGCUCAAAUUCUAACAAGCGACUAAUGCGGAACUGUAGGUGAUAAGAUAAGUAUAGCCUAGUAUGAUCAAAGUCAACCAAUAUUUAAUCCCAUAAAUAAAAAUCAAGAGCAAAAAUUAGAUGAACUAAAGUAAAAAUAGAAAAUUUUAAAAUAAAAAAAAAUAUCAAAAUUUUCCUUUCAGUCAUACCAAGAUAUCAAGCUUUCCCAAUUUGGUCUUGAGAAAUUCAGCAAGAGAAGCAACACUAGCAGGGUCUGCAACGUCAAGCUGAUGAAAGAUGACAUGAACAUCAGAAUCACCAGAAUACCCUUUGACUUUCUCAAGAGCUUCAAUUCCCCUCUUUUCAUCUCUUGCAGUCAAUACCACAGUGAUACCAUGAGAAGCUAAUUGCUUGCAUAUUUCCAAUCCUAUCCCUUUAUUUGCCCCUGUAACAACUGCAUACCUACAAAAAUAUAUGCAAUAAACAAAAAUUUUGCACUGUUAGAUUUUCUUAUGCAGGGGCAGAUGGGAAAAGUGAAAAAUCUAGAGGGUAUCCAAGAAAAAAUUAGCAGACCUCUUUGUUGCAGAACUGGUGACUGGUUCUGCCAUGAUUGAUGAGAUGGGUUUUCUUGAAUUUUCCAAAAAAGAGAGAGAUUUAUGUUAAGCCAAGAGAUGUUCUUGCUUUUUAUUUCUUUAUUGCUUUUUAAAUGUUAAAAUGUCGUGGACAAAAAGUAUACACUUCUUUUUAAUCCUUCUUUUGUUUUUUCUUAUUCAUUUUUUUCUCAUUUUCUGUCCCUCAUCAUUUAACUUUGACAUGUGGCCGAAAAAGAAAAUGUCAUAUACACAUGUAUAUUGUGUAUUUCAACCUGACAUAUGAGACUUAUAAGUAUGUAUGCGUGUGUGAUCGAUCAUUAUGCUAAUAUUUUUUUAUGUGAUAGUAAUAUUAUUUUUAAAAUAUUUUUUUCCUUGUGUAUGCCUUCAUUGCUGCUUUUGAUACUACAUGUGCUGACAUAAAAGCAGGCCAACUUUUGGCAUGUACUAAACCCUCUUUGAAAUCUUUAAGAAAUUCAUUUAUUACUUAAUUCUUAUGUGAGGUUUUGGACAUCAUUCCUUUGCCCAUUCAUUUCGUAUUUUCUGAAACAUAUAAAUACAAUUCUAGGGUCAAUGAUCAAUAUUAAUAAGGAAAUUGUUAAAUCUAUAGUACUUUUUAUUAUUUUCACAACAAAAAUAUUGCUCUAAAUGUAUAGCGACGGUGAAAACUGUAGCUAUAAGAUCUAUAACGACACUUUUGUUGUGAAAAUAAUAUUUUAUGUUGUGGAUUUAACAGUUCCUUAUUAAUAAAUAUGGCUUUCGAAUGUGUAACAAAAUCUGUAUAUUUUUUUACAUUUAGAUCAAGAAAAUGUUUGAUGAAAAUUUAUAAACUAUUGUUAUAGGAAAGACUAGAACUUAAGAAACUUAGAAAACUAUUGAAAAUUUUGCAUAAUUUUAUUAAUUUAUUAACUUUUCAAGAGGAAGUAAACGUAUCUACUCGAACAUCGGCUCGAAAAUAUGAUCCAAAGCUCGAAUUCGAAGUUGAUCCGAGUCGAAUCUGAUCCAUACUCGUUUUCUAUUUAAUGAUACACGAGUCGAAUUCGAGCAUACCAGUGUUCACUCAGAUUAAGGUUCGAGUAUUUCAUUUUUUCUCGAAUCAUACUCGAUACCUGCUCGAUGGAUCAUAUUCGAAUAUUGGUCUGAUCCAUGCUUAGUAAGCUAAAUAUGUGAUAUUUAUAUCAAUCUUUAUAAUUUUUGAAGUGUAGUAUGAAAUUGUGUAAACUUGUACUUGAAUAAAUCAAUGAAUUGAAUGUCAAUUUUUAUUACAUUCUUUAUAAUUUCAAUACAUAAAUAAAAGUGAAAAAGUUUUAUAUAUAAAUAUUAGUUAAGUAACCAAUUUAGUAUGUAGUGGUUCAGUUUUAAGUGAAACGGUUUAUAUUCGAAACUCGAUUUGAAGGCUCAUGAGUAACUCGCUUUGUAAACGAGUCGAGUACUUACGAGCCGAGUAGGUCCGAGUAAUGAUCCGAGUCGAAUCUGGCGCAAAAAUAUAAAUCCCUUAUCGAAUCCAAGUCGAAUCCGAGCUCAAUUUUUUCGAGUCGAGCCGAAUCUGAGCAUGAAGGUGUUCGCCGAGAUUCGACUCGUUUACCCCUAGACACACGGUCAAAAAAGAUUCUGAACGAACACAUUUCAUUCAUAAGGUAAGACUUAAUGUUUUACCUAUGUUUCUCCUUUCAAAUUCCUUAAAAUAUUGAUAAAUCCUAGAUUUAACUUGAGAAGGAUACUUAUAGCCUAUAACUUGAGAAGGAUAAACUUAUAGUCCUAUAAGUUAUAGGACUAUAUCUAUAAUUUUCUGCAUCCACCAAAGUAUUUAAGUUCACAAAACUGCUUGAUAAUAUCUAUGAAAUGUUGAAUGUUUGACACGAGAACACAGCUUGUUCAACAAGUUGCUCACAAAUCGAUUAAGUUAGCUGCAUGGAACUUCACACACAUUUCUUUCUGUGGAAAAGAGGGAUUAUUACUUUCUAUAUACAAUGUUUCUCAUGAAAAAGAAAGAGAGGUGACUUUCACAGUUUCACUACAAACCGGUGAGGAGAUUAUCACUAUUAAUACAUUCUCCAACAUUCAUUUUCAAAAAUAAGUUAUACAUACAUUCCAUAUAAUUUAAUGAACACUACUCGAGUUUCAAGCUAUCAUCUCCAGUAGCUAAACUAUGUGAUGGACUAUAUUUAGUCCAUAUGACAUCAGCAAAUGUCCUUUAGUCUCCCAUCUUUCCAGCAGAUAGACUAACUCGUGGACUAUAAUAUAAAAAGAUUAAAAUAAUCUAUGAAUUCAAAAAAGCUCCAAUCUCCUUCCACUCUCCCAUUUAAAUAUAAUUAAAAUUAUAGUCCAUGGACUAUCAAGUUCCUGGAUUUAGUCUUAUUGGUGCUUCAAAUAUAGUCAUAGACUAUAUUUAGUCUACCUGUUGGAGCUGGAAGAUAAAUCCUAAACUAAAUAUAGUCUAGGAUUGUGCUGCUGGAGUUGCUCAAGAGAAGCUAGCGGUAGGAAGCUAACUGUAUGCUGUUUUUAUUUGCAACUUUCAUUCAAAAGAUGAUAUGUCGCCGCGAAAAAAGAAAAGGCCAGAAGGCCCACCAUUGGGGCGACGUAUCAUUAAAAAGAUGAUACGUCACCCCGAAAGAAGAAAAAUCCGGAAGGUCCACCAUUGGGGAGAAGAGCUAGCUUCACUGCACUUUCAGCACCUUCUUCGACAGUUAAUUCGCCAGUAUUGAAGUUUAUAUCCGUUUUAACAAAGCCAGGACAAACAGCAUUGAUGCAGAAAGUUGGGUAAUUCUCGGCCAAAAUCCUUGUGUAUGCAUUCAUUGCUGCUUUUGAGACUGUAUAUGCUGAUAUAAAAGAAGGCCAAUUUUCGGCUUGUACUAAACUCUCUUUGAAAUCUUUCAGAUACUUAUUCAGCACCUCAUCCACUCUCUCUUCUGUAAGGUUUUGGGCAUCAUUUAGUAUUCCCUUUGCCCAUUCAUUUGGUAAAUACUGAAACAGAAAAAUCUAUGGUCAAUGAUACUUAAAAAUUUAAUCUUUGAAUGUGAAAAUAAAUUCUAUAUACCUACAAGGAGGUGGAUUAAGCCUAUGGUUCUUAAAAUUCGAUAGCCUAAUGUUUAAAGAGAAGACUAGAACAUAAGAAACUUAAAUAAUUUGCAUAAUGACUCUUAUGAUCUACGAGUGCUAUCAAAUCUUUUCGGGGAAGGGAAAGUUGAAUGCUUUAUUUCCAAUUUUAGAAAGAAAACGUCCUAACUUUACCCUCCCUUCCCUUCUCUUCCCUCUGAAUAAAACUCACAAACACACCAUAAGGGUCAAACAGGUGGAACAGGUGAAUAAAGGGAGGUGCAUUUACCGAAACAAGUAGAUGCAGAAAAUAAACAAUUUGACAACUAGAAUAACACAGCAUAAAAUGCAAUUGAAUUUCUCAAUAAGAUUAGAAAAUAUAAAAGUAAAAUUACAUGUGAUGAAUGUCAUUACCUUCAAUCUUCCCAUGGAGGAGGAAACAUUCACAAUAGUUGGUGAAUCAGAUAACUGAAGGAGGGGAAUUAGUGCUUCUAUCAUUCUUUUUGCCCCAUAGUAGUUUGUUUGCAGGCAUUGCUCUGUCAACUCAUAGGUCUCGAUGGCCAUUUCAUCCCAUUUAAUAACUUCAGACUGAAUCACGAACAAUUAUA